AAGUCGUACCAGGUUACCGUUUGCAGCUAAGCACGGAGGACCUUGCACAGGACUAUAAACAGUGCAAGUUGGUUCGACCAGCAACACAAUCGAAUUGCGGGGACGUCUUAAAGCCUGCUAGCACCUCCCGUUGGCGAAAGCUAACGGCCGGUAAGAGCCUACGGGAUGCACAAUAGACCAUCCGCAGCGAAGACCCUAAAGCCUCGGCUACGGGUAUCGUUCACAGACUAGGUGAUUGUGGGAGGGUUACCCUUCUAAGAUAUAGUCGGUUACAGUGGGAGACCUCUGUAUUUAUAGCGUCCGUAGGUGAACCUGCGGAAGGAUCAUUAAAAAUGAAGCCGGGAAACCGGUCCUUCUAACCCUUGAUUAUCUUAAAUUUGUUGCUUUGGCGGGCCGCGCAAGCACCGGCUUCGGCUGGAUAGUGCCCGCCAGAGGACCACAACUCUGUAUCAAAUGUCGUCUGAGUACUAUAAAAUAGUUAAAACUUUCAACAACGGAUCUCUUGGUUCUGGCAUCGAUGAAGAACGCAGCGAAAUGCGAUAAGUAAUGUGAAUUGCAGAAUUCAGUGAAUCAUCGAAUCUUUGAACGCACAUUGCGCCCUCUGGUAUUCCGGAGGGCAUGCCUGUUCGAGCGUCAUAAUAACCAAAUCACCCCCGUGGUGGACUUGGAGUUGGCCGGAGGGCCUCUCUUAAAAUCAGUGGCGGUGCUCUCAAGCUCUACGCGUAGUAAUUCUCUCGCGACAGUGUCUUGUGGGUGCUUGCCAGCAACCCCAACUAUUAUAAGGUUGACCUCGGAUCAGGUAGGGAUACCCGCUGA
Molecule: ribosomal RNA, 816 nt
Filed under: Helotiales sp.
Lineage: Eukaryota; Fungi; Ascomycota; Leotiomycetes; Helotiales
Description: eukaryotic LSU rRNA
Rfam family: 5.8S ribosomal RNA (bases 483-636)
Source: RNAcentral